GACGAACGCUGGCGGCGUGCUUAACACAUGCAAGUCGAACGGAAAGGCCCCUUUGGGGGUACUCGAGUGGCGAACGGGUGAGUAACACGUGAGUAACCUGCCCUUGACUUCGGGAUAACUUCAGGAAACUGGGGCUAAUACCGGAUAGGAAUCCUUGCUGCAUGGUGGGGGUUGGAAAGCUUCGGCGGUUUUGGAUGGACUCGCGGCUUAUCAGCUUGUUGGUGGGGUAGUGGCUUACCAAGGCUUUGACGGGUAGCCGGCCUGAGAGGGCGACCGGCCACAUUGGGACUGAGAUACGGCCCAGGCUCCUACGGGAGGCAGCAGUGGGGAAUAUUGCACAAGGGGCGGAAGCCUGAUGCAGCAACGCCGCGUGCGGGAUGACGGCCUUCGGGUUGUAAACCGCUUUCAGCAGGGGCGAAGCUUGUGGUGACGGUACCUGCAGAAGAAGCACCGGCUAACUACGUG
RNAcentral lists this ribosomal RNA (465 nucleotides) under uncultured bacterium. RNAcentral describes it as "partial 16S ribosomal RNA". It matches the Rfam family "Bacterial small subunit ribosomal RNA", at positions 28 to 507 of the family's 1533-position model. The record is from RNAcentral.